UUAGUAACUGAUGAAUUUAGUAAAAAACAGACAGGGGUUCUAAUGCAGUCAAUAGUUUCAAAACUAAUCUCAUACACUUUAAUACAGAAUGUUUACAAGAAGAGAAUUGGAGUUCCCCCUUUAUAUUUCUCAUUAGUGGAUUAUCAAAACAUUAAAAAAGCGAAACCAGAAUUUGUGAAUUCUUUCCGAAGUUUGAACGAAACAGGUAUUA
This is a long non-coding RNA of Eurytemora carolleeae, 211 nucleotides long. RefSeq lists it as uncharacterized. The record is from RefSeq and is a predicted model, not a curated record. The transcript has 3 exons. NCBI's taxonomy places the organism in Eukaryota, Metazoa, Arthropoda, Copepoda, Calanoida, Temoridae.